Molecule: long non-coding RNA, 1382 nt
Organism: Anthonomus grandis grandis
Lineage: Eukaryota; Metazoa; Arthropoda; Insecta; Coleoptera; Curculionidae
Exons: 2
Source: RefSeq, a predicted model, not a curated record
GAAUGAUGAAGUGAUAGAUAUGAUAAUCACUCAAACAAAUAAAUAUGCCUUAGAACAAAAAGAAAUAAAUAAAAAAAUAAUUUGGACACCACUUACUAAAGAAGAUUUCCUCACUUUUAUUGCUGUACUUUUUCUUGCUGCUCGCCAUAGAAAAAACAAAUUAGUAGAGAAUUGGUCCACCGAUGAACUACUAUACACUCCGAUAUUUGGAAAAGUGAUGUCCAGAAACCGCUUUCAAAUAAUAUUACGCAUGCUUUAUUUUACAGACAAUGGCGAACAAAUUAAAGGUGACUUAUGCCACAAAGUUCGAGGGAUUUUCGACAAAAUUAAAACUACGUUUGCCCAGAAAUUUGUUCCAUUCCAGAACUUGGUGAUUGAUGAGAGUUUAAUGCUUUUUAAAGGACGUCUGUUAUUCAAGCAGUUCAUACGAACAAAACGACAUCAUUUUGGCAUAAAACUGUUCCUCCUGUGUGAUUGUGAGACAGUCUACGUCCUAAAUUUUAUCAUAUAUAUAGGCUCAAAAACCGAAAUUGAGUUGUGUCAAGAUCUUGGCAUAUCAGGGUCGGUUGUAACAACAUUAAUGGAAUCUUAUUUGAACAAAGGCCAUUCCCUCUAUACUGACAAUUGGUAUACCUCACCAGCUCUUUCCACCUAUUUAUUUAAAAAAAAACAAACAUAUGUGGUACAGUUAGGAGUACCAGAAAGCAAAUGCCGGAUCUAUCAGGAAGAUUGGACAAGGGUCAAACAAAAUCCAUGUCUAGUGAAAAUAUUUUAGCUGUCAGAUGGAAGGAUCGAAGAGACGUUAACAUGUUGACAACUUUCCACAGGGAUGAAAUGACCCAGUUGACUAAAAAAGAUAGAAAAACGGGUGAAUUUGUAAAAAAACCAGCAUGUGUGGUGUAGUAUAACCAAAAUAUGGGAGCAGUUGAUAGGACUGAUAUGAUGCUAAGUUCGACAGAAUGCGUAAGAAAAACUUUAAAAUGGUACAAAAAACUCUUUUUUCACGUUGUGGAUCUAUGUGUUUUGAACAUCUAUGCACUAUUUCUAACUCAAAAUCCAGGAAAGUUACCACUAGCAGAUUUUCAAUUAAAUCUUACUCGGCAACUUCUUGAGAGAUAUGUUGCACCAAAAACUAUGUCAGUAAGGGCUGCACCAAGUCGUCAACGUCUUACGGGGCGUCAUUUUCCUGCUAUCAUACCAAACAACAAAGUUCGAAGAUGCAUUGUUUGUGCACAAUCCAAAAUUCGGGAGAAAAAGAAGCGACGAGAUUCCAGAUAUAUGUGCAACGAGUGCAACGUGGGAUUGUGUGUCGCUCCCUGUUUUGUUGAAUACCACACAAUGAAGGAUUUCUAAAAAAAACGAUUAAAAAAUUUUCUUAAUUA